CCCCUGAUGACAGGGAUAGCCGGUAGAAAUACCGGGUAAUACCUGAUAAAGUAUUAAGGAAUAGAGGCUUAAUAUGAAAGGAACUAUUGUUCCGCAUAAGGAACGGCUCGCGAGCCAUUAGCUGGUUGGUAAGGUAACGGCCUACCAAGGCGACGAUGGCAACCCGGCCUAAGAGGGUGAACGGGCACAUUGGGACUGAGAUACGGCCCAGACUCCUACGGGAGGCAGCAGCUAAGAAUAUUCCGCAAUGGGGGGAACCCUGACGGAGCGACACCGCGUGGAUGAAGAAGGUCGGAAGAUUGUAAAAUCCUUCUAUAACAGAAGAAUAAGGUUAUGAAGAGAAAGCAUAGCAGGUGACGGUAUGUUAUGAAUAAGAGGCGGCUAAUUACGUGCCAGCAGCCGCGGUAACACGUAAGCCUCGAGCGUUGUUCGGAAUUAUUGGGCGUAAAGGGCAUGUAGGCGGAUUAGCAAGCUUGAUGUGAAAGGCGGGGGCUCAACCCCCGGAUGGCGUUGAGAACUGCAUAACUAGAGUAUCUGAAGGGCAAUCAGAAUUCCGGGUGUAGGGGUGAAAUCUGUAGAUAUCCGGAAGAAUACCAAUGGCGAAGGCAGGUUGCCGGCAGAAGACUGACGCUGAGGUGCGAAGGUGCGGGGAGCAAACAGGAUUAGAUACCCUGGUAGUCCGCACAGUCAACGAUGUACACUGGGUGUCCGGAAGAAAAAGUCGGGUGUGGAAGCAAACGCGAUAAGUGUACCGCCUGGGGAGUAUGCCCGCAAGGGUGCAAGGGAAAGGAAUUGAC
RNAcentral lists this ribosomal RNA (797 nucleotides) under uncultured Spirochaetota bacterium. RNAcentral's name for it is "bacterial SSU rRNA". It matches the Rfam family "Bacterial small subunit ribosomal RNA", at positions 128 to 914 of the family's 1533-position model. The record is from RNAcentral. Lineage: Bacteria; Pseudomonadati; Spirochaetota.